Molecule: long non-coding RNA, 1836 nt
Organism: Dermochelys coriacea (leatherback sea turtle)
Lineage: Eukaryota; Metazoa; Chordata; Testudines; Dermochelyidae
Exons: 4
Source: RefSeq, a predicted model, not a curated record
UCUCAAGUGAACAUUCCCAUUAACUUGCAUGGGGUACUUGCAUGAAUAAAGACUACACAGGUUUGAAAAGAACCCUGUAUUUUUGUAUUAUUUCAGAGAUUAGAGGCUAUGCAUCCACAGUCCAUGCUGGUCUUGGGAUUGGAUACUGUACCAGAAAUCAAACCCAGGUCUCCUGCCCAUCACUGCAGAGUACUGCAAAUGGGUGGCUGAAAUAAUUGUGAUUGAGAAAGUGAAAGAGACAGCAGCCAGAUCAUCAGAUGAUGUAAAUCAGUGUUGUCUGUUGUCACCAGCAGAGCGUUGAUGAUUGAGGACCUGGUCCACAAAAUGUGUAGUUUGGUUGCAUCUACUUACAAAACUUGUAAAAUAAAUUGAUUAGUGCGGUAUUGGCUUUAAGAGCAUUCACAUAUUUGUACUAAGGACCAGAGAUACUUUAUACAAUAAUAUGAUGUACACGUCUUAAGCUUGUAUACAUCCUCUGAUUGUAUACUAAUUUUAUAGCAUUUACAUUUGAUACAUGUGUUCAGAUUUCUGAUUCAUUUUAUAAUCUGUUUCUUCCCAGUCCAUUUAUAUUGUUCCAGACUGAGAACACUAAAGAAGAUGAAGAAUAUCAUUAUACUUCUUUGCAGUCUGGCAAUAGUCUGGGCUACUCCAUUAAGUCUCUUAAAAAUCUUCUUUAGUGGGGACUACAUAAUCAAUCCCUUACCCAUACUGGCGAGCAAUUACUCCCAUGAAUAGUCCCACUGAAGCCACAGGGGACCAUCUGAAUACAUCGAGGUGAAAAGGAGAAUGACAGCAUUGCUGGAGAACACCAAGCGAGCUAUGCGAUUUCCCCCCACCUUCCCCGUGGCUCAACUCCACACCCAGGCGGAGAUGCUAUUGACAUACAUGUGUAUUUGCGUUCUCCAGAAAAGCCAGAAGUGACAAAACAGGAGCCAGAUAAUGAAAGCACCAAUGACUGCAACAAGAAUGAAGUUGCUAUGAAUGGUGGCAACAUUGGUGAUGGAAUGGUAAAGUAAACACUGGUGACACUGGAAGUGGAAAUGGCAGCGCUAAAGGUGACUGGCAAUGUGACUGGCAAUCCAAAUGCAAACAGCCAGAAGAGUGAACCCAGAGGUACCAAUGAGAAGUCUGGCAACAUCAGCAGUGAAGACAAUGAUGAAAUGCAUGAUUCUAAUGAACUCAUACAAGGGGAUGGCCCCACUGACAGCAAUGAAUCUGAUGGCUCUGUCAGUACUGAGAAAGGAUGAUGAUUAAAAUCCUGAUAGUGAGAACAAGUGCAGUAGCCAGCAAGAUGAUACCAGCGAGUCCAAGGAAUCGGGCAGUGAGGACCAUGAAAGCACAUCAUUAAGAGAUAACGAGGAUACAGAUAGUGACAAUUACAGCAGCGAGAGUGACAGUGACACCAAAUCAGACAGUAGUGAUAGCGACAGUGAUACUUGUAGUGACAACAAAUCAGAUGGCAGCAACUGUGAUAGCACUAGUGACAGUGAUGGCAAAUCAGACAGCACUGAUAGAACUAGUGACAGUGAAUCAGAUGGUAGUGAAGGUGACAGCAAGUCAGAUAGGAGUGAGCGUGCACCUAAUAUUAAUGAAAGUAGUGGUGAUAACAGUGGCAAUUCACCCCAUACAGAACUCCCAAGUGACAGUGAAUCUGAGGAAAAUGACAGUGAUGGUAGCACAAAGUCAGAAGACAAAGACUGUAAGAGCGAAAGCCAAUCAUAAAGUGAAGGCAGUAAUAGCAAGGACUCAACAAGUGAUGAUUAGAACUGGGGAAAUGAAAAUCCGUAGUGACAUUGACUCUAAUUUACAGCAAAUGGAAUUUGUGUAGGUGGGAAG